AGGGUUGAUUUGUGGAAGAGGAAUAACAGUACAUUAUUUACAGACAACACCAUAUAGGUUGUAAUAUCAAUUUAUAAACAUUUGAAAGCAGCCAAGUGUUGAAACUAAAAUUUGGAGGUGUCUGGGAAAGUGAUCUUUUGAACGCCAAGAACAUCUAAUGGCGUCGGCUAGUCGUGCCCACAGCGCCAUGAAUACAUGAGUGUUAUGGCGUACCAUCGCUGUCAAAGUAACUUUCACAUUUUCAAGCUUGCUUGCAUCCAUGACCUUGGCGAGUGAGUGACGUUUUAGUUUAUGACGUAAGCGUUCAAAAGGUUAAAAGGAAUAAAGGGCAUUUUUCGUCUCCAUAACGUAAGGUAAUACUGGAAGCUCCCGUAAUGUUACUUUUUCGAACACUUGACCGCGACUACUAACAAUUUGUCACUAUACAUACAAUACUAUCGACCCGGUAGGCCGGCGAAGCCAUUAUAGGACCUCAACAGUGCUUUUUAAUUGUUAUAAC
Long non-coding RNA from Cydia fagiglandana, 499 nucleotides. RefSeq lists it as uncharacterized. The record is from RefSeq and is a predicted model, not a curated record. The transcript is spliced from 2 exons. Lineage: Eukaryota; Metazoa; Arthropoda; Insecta; Lepidoptera; Tortricidae.